AUGGGGAAACCCAGUGUGAUUCGUCACACUAUCAUUAACUGAAUCCAUAGGUUAAUGAGGCGAACCGGGGGAACUGAAACAUCUAAGUACCCCGAGGAAAAGAAAUCAACCGAGAUUCCCCCAGUAGCGGCGAGCGAACGGGGAGGAGCCCAGAGCCUGAAUCAGCAUGUGUGUUAGUGGAAGCGUCUGGAAAGGCGCGCGAUACAGGGUGACAGCCCCGUACACAAAAGCGCAUAUGCUGUGAGCUCGAUGAGUAGGGCGGGACACGUGGUAUCCUGUCUGAAUAUGGGGGGACCAUCCUCCAAGGCUAAAUACUCCUGACUGACCGAUAGUGAACCAGUACCGUGAGGGAAAGGCGAAAAGAACCCCGGCGAGGGGAGUGAAAAAGAACCUGAAACCGUGUACGUACAAGCAGUGGGAGCACAGGUUUACCUGUGUGACUGCGUACCUUUUGUAUAAUGGGUCAGCGACUUAUAUUCUGUAGCAAGGUUAACCGMAUAGGGGAGCCGGAGGGAAACCGAGUCUUAACUUAA
RNAcentral lists this ribosomal RNA (533 nucleotides) under Salmonella enterica. RNAcentral's name for it is "partial 23S ribosomal RNA". The record is from RNAcentral. Lineage: Bacteria; Pseudomonadati; Pseudomonadota; Gammaproteobacteria; Enterobacterales; Enterobacteriaceae.